This 910-nucleotide ribosomal RNA is filed under the name uncultured bacterium. RNAcentral's name for it is "bacterial SSU rRNA". It matches the Rfam family "Bacterial small subunit ribosomal RNA", at positions 33 to 932 of the family's 1533-position model. The record is from RNAcentral.
ACGCUGGCGGCAUGCUUUACACAUGCAAGUCGGACGGCAGCGGGGUAGUGCUUGCACUACUGCCGGCGAGUGGCGAACGGGUGAGUAAUAUAUUGGAACGUACCGAGUAAUGGGGGAUAACCAAUCGAAAGAUUGGCUAAUACCGCAUACGCUCUGAGGAGGAAAGCAGGGGACCUUCGGGCCUUGCGUUAUUCGAGCGGCCAAUAUCUGAUUAGCUAGUUGGUGGGGUAAAGGCCUACCAAGGCGACGAUCAGUAGCGGGUCUGAGAGGAUGAUCCGCCACACUGGGACUGAGACACGGCCCAGACUCCUACGGGAGGCAGCAGUGGGGAAUUUUGGACUAUGGGCGCAAGCCUGAUCCAGCCAUGCCGCGUGUCUGAAGAAGGCCUUCGGGUUGUAAAGGACUUUUGUUAGGGAAGAAAAAGGAGCGGUUAAUACCCGUUUCUGCUGACGGUACCUAAAGAAUAAGCACCGGCUAACUACGCGCCAGCAGCCGCGGUAAUACGUAGGGUGCGAGCGUUAAUCGGAAUUACUGGGCGUAAAGCGAGCGCAGACGGUUACUUAAGCAGGAUGUGAAAUCCCCGGGCUUAACCUGGGAACUGCGUUCUGAACUGGGUGGCUAGAGUAUGUCAGAGGGGGGUAGAAUUCCACGUGUAGCAGUGAAAUGCGUAGAGAUGUGGAGGAAUACCGAUGGCGAAGGCAGCCCCCUGGGAUAAUACUGACGUUCGUGCUCGAAAGCGUGGGUAGCAAACAGGAUUAGAUACCCUGGUAGUCCACGCCCUAAACGAUGUCGAUUAGCUGUUGGGCAGCUUGACUGCUUAGUAGCGUAGCUAACGCGUGAAAUCGACCGCCUGGGGAGUACGGUCGCAAGAUUAAAACUCAAAGGAAUUGACGGGGACCCGCACAAGCGG